GUAGGGAAUAUUGCACAAUGGGCGAAAGCCUGAUGCAGCAACGCCGCGUGCACGAUGAAGGCCUUCGGGUCGUAAAGUGCUUUUCGGGGAGAUGAGAAUGGACAGUAUCCCCGGAAUAAGGAUCGGCUAACUACGUGCCAGCAGCCGCGGUAAAACGUAGGAUCCGAGCGUUAUCCGAAUUUACUGGGCGUAAAGCGCGUGUAGGCGGUUCGGUAAGUUGGAUGUGAAAUCUCCUGGCUCAACUGGGAGAGGUCGUUCAAUACUGUCGGACUAGAGGGUGGUAGAGGGAGGUGGAAUUCCCGGUGUAGUGGUGAAAUGCGUAGAUAUCGGGAGGAACACCUGUGGCGAAAGCGGCCUCCUGGACCAUUCCUGACGCUCAGACGCGAAAGCUAGGGGAGCGAACGGGAUUAGAAACCCGUGUAGUCC
This 426-nucleotide ribosomal RNA is filed under the name uncultured bacterium. RNAcentral's name for it is "bacterial SSU rRNA". It matches the Rfam family "Bacterial small subunit ribosomal RNA", at positions 354 to 796 of the family's 1533-position model. The record is from RNAcentral.